Molecule: ribosomal RNA, 529 nt
Filed under: uncultured bacterium
Lineage: Bacteria
Description: bacterial SSU rRNA
Rfam family: Bacterial small subunit ribosomal RNA
Source: RNAcentral
AAUAGAUACCCAGGUAGUCCACGCCGUAAACGAUGAGUGCUAAGUGUUAGAGGGUUUCCGCCCUUUGGUGCUGCAGCUAACGCAUUAAGCACUCCGCCUGGGGAGUACGGUCGCAAGACUGAAACUCAAAGGAAUUGACGGGGGCCCGCACAAGCGGUGGAGCAUGUGGUUUAAUUCGAAGCAACGCGAAGAACCUUACCAGGUCUUGACAUCCCACUGACCGGUAUAGAGAUAUACCUUUCCCUUCGGGGACAGUGGUGACAGGUGGUGCAUGGUUGUCGUCAGCUCGUGUCGUGAGAUGUUGGGUUAAGUCCCGCAACGAGCGCAACCCUUGAUCUUAGUUGCCAGCAUUUAGUUGGGCACUCUAAGGUGACUGCCGGUGACAAACCGGAGGAAGGUGGGGAUGACGUCAAAUCAUCAUGCCCCUUAUGACCUGGGCUACACACGUGCUACAAUGGAUGGUACAAAGGGCUGCAAGACUGCGAAGUCAAGCCAAUCCCAUAAAACCAUUCUCAGUUCGGAUUGCAGG